RNAcentral lists this ribosomal RNA (433 nucleotides) under uncultured bacterium. RNAcentral's name for it is "partial 16S ribosomal RNA". It matches the Rfam family "Bacterial small subunit ribosomal RNA", at positions 29 to 507 of the family's 1533-position model. The record is from RNAcentral.
AAUGAACGCUGGCGGCAUGCCUAACACAUGCAAGUCGAACGACGGCUCCGGGCGUAGUUGCUCUCGGGUGUGGCAAGUGUCGGAAGCGGCCGUAGUGCUUGGAAUACUACUGUGUCAUGGGUGCUAAUACCGGAUGAUUUCUUCUGAUAACACAUUCAACGUACAGGGAUGAGCCCGGGUAGGAUUGACUAGGUGGUGGUGUAAUGGCCGAUCAAGGCGACGAUCAUUAGCUGGGCUGAGAGGAUGAUCAGCCACACUGGGACUGAGACACGGCCCAGACUCCUACGGGAGGCAGCAGUGGGGAAUAUUGGACAAUGGGCGCGAGCCUGAUCCAGCAAUGCCGCGUGAGUAAUGAAGGCCUUAGGGUUGUAAAGCUCUUUUACCCGGGAUGAUAAUGACAGUACCGGGAGAAUAAGCUCCGGCUAACUCCGUG